Molecule: ribosomal RNA, 561 nt
Rfam family: 5.8S ribosomal RNA (bases 197-350)
ACGGGACUACUUACAGAGUUUACAACUCCCAAACCCAAAUGUGAACAUACCAAUCGUUGCUUCGGCGGACUCGUCCCGGCGUCCGGGUGGCCUUGCGCCGCCCGCGGCCCGGAUCCAGGCGGCCGCCGGAGGCCAUCAAACUCUUUGUAUUACCAGUAUCGUCUGAAUCCGCCGCAAGGCAAAACAAAUGAAUCAAAACUUUCAACAACGGAUCUCUUGGUUCUGGCAUCGAUGAAGAACGCAGCGAAAUGCGAUAAGUAAUGUGAAUUGCAGAAUUCAGUGAAUCAUCGAAUCUUUGAACGCACAUUGCGCCCGCCAGCAUUCUGGCGGGCAUGCCUGUUCGAGCGUCAUUUCAACCCUCGAGCUCCCCUUGGGGAGCCCGGCGUUGGGGACCGGCCUCUACCGCCGCCCCCGAAAUACAGUGGCGGCCCCGUCACGGCGACCUCUGCGUAGUAACUCAACCUCGCACCGGAAACCCGACGCGGCCACGCCGUAAAACAACCCACUUCUGAACGUUGACCUCGGAUCAAGGUAGGAAUACCCGCUGAACUUAAGCAUAUC